RNAcentral lists this transfer RNA (73 nucleotides) under Trichonephila inaurata madagascariensis. It matches the Rfam family "tRNA". Rfam says of the family: Transfer RNA (tRNA) molecules are approximately 80 nucleotides in length. Their secondary structure includes four short double-helical elements and three loops (D, anti-codon, and T loops). The record is from Rfam by way of RNAcentral. Lineage: Eukaryota; Metazoa; Arthropoda; Arachnida; Araneae; Nephilidae.
GUCCCAGUAGCGUAAUGGAUAGCACGUUGGACUUCUAAUCCAAAGGUUGUGGAUUCGAAUCCCGCCUGGGAUG